Molecule: ribosomal RNA, 465 nt
Filed under: uncultured bacterium
Lineage: Bacteria
Description: partial 16S ribosomal RNA
Rfam family: Bacterial small subunit ribosomal RNA
Source: RNAcentral
GACGAACGCUGGCGGCGUGCUUAACACAUGCAAGUCGAACGGAAAGGCCCUGCUUGCUGGGUACUCGAGUGGCGAACGGGUGAGUAACACGUGGGUGAUCUGCCCUUCACUUCGGGAUAAGCUUGGGAAACUGGGUCUAAUACCGGAUAGGAGCCAUCUUUAGUGUGGGGGUUGGAGAGUUUUUUAGGGGUAGGAUGGGAUCGCGGCCUAUCUGCUUGUUGGUGGGGUGAUGGCCUACCAAGGCGGAGACGGGUAGCCGGCCUGAGAGGGUGUACGGCCACAUUGGGACUGAGAAACGGCCCAGACUCCUACGGGAGGCAGCAGUGGGGAAUAUUGCACAAUGGGCGGAAGCCUGAUGCAGCGACGCCGCGUGGGGGAUGAAGGCCUUCGGGUUGUAAACUCCUUUCGCUAGGGACGAAGCUUUUUGUGACGGUACCUAGAUAAGAAGCACCGGCUAACUACGUG